This 465-nucleotide ribosomal RNA is filed under the name Vreelandella stevensii. RNAcentral describes it as "partial 16S ribosomal RNA". It matches the Rfam family "Bacterial small subunit ribosomal RNA", at positions 338 to 795 of the family's 1533-position model. The record is from RNAcentral. Lineage: Bacteria; Pseudomonadati; Pseudomonadota; Gammaproteobacteria; Oceanospirillales; Halomonadaceae.
CCUACGGGAGGCAGCAGUGGGGAAUAUUGGACAAUGGGCGAAAGCCUGAUCCAGCCAUGCCGCGUGUGUGAAGAAGGCCUUCGGGUUGUAAAGCACUUUCAGUGGGGAAGAAAGCCUUGGGGCUAAUACCCUCGAGGAAGGACAUCACCCACAGAAGAAGCACCGGCUAACUCCGUGCCAGCAGCCGCGGUAAUACGGAGGGUGCGAGCGUUAAUCGGAAUUACUGGGCGUAAAGCGCGCGUAGGCGGUCUGAUAAGCCGGUUGUGAAAGCCCCGGGCUCAACCUGGGAAUGGCAUCCGGAACUGUCAGGCUAGAGUGCAGGAGAGGAAGGUAGAAUUCCCGGUGUAGCGGUGAAAUGCGUAGAGAUCGGGAGGAAUACCAGUGGCGAAGGCGGCCUUCUGGACUGACACUGACGCUGAGGUGCGAAAGCGUGGGUAGCAAACAGGAUUAGAUACCCGGGUAGUC